Flavobacteriaceae bacterium TMED220 is the source of this 107-nucleotide non-coding RNA. The record is from Rfam. NCBI's taxonomy places the organism in Bacteria, Pseudomonadati, Bacteroidota, Flavobacteriia, Flavobacteriales, Flavobacteriaceae.
UUGUUUUGGGCAAGUCCUAUACAACUAGCUCCUAUUUAAUCCCCCAGGGUGGGAACACAGCAAGGGUCAAUGGUUGUAGCAGUGUGAUAUAGUAAGCUUGCCCAUNU